ACGUCCCCAUCAUCCGGACCUCGACGGGAGAGCUCGCACCACGGCUUGUCUUCCACCACCGCGUCCACUUAUCUCCUAGGCAUCCGGAUCUCACAAAUGCCACUCUUGCUGCUGUCGCCAAGCCCACUCCCUGCCUCCCCCACCGGAGGAGGUUGACGAUUUCGACGUGGACUCUGGGACAUCAGAUAUAGAGUCGUCGUUCUCCUCUGGCGUCAUCGUCUUCCUCCCACGACCUGCCGCCUCAGCCUUGUCCUCCAUCACCAUUAUUUUCCCGCGUUGUCGCUUCUAUGUUUCUGCCGCGAUUUCCUCCCAUCGAGGUGACAACCAAGCUCCUAUCAUAAAGCCUCCCGUCAAGUUCAGUCAGGUGCCAUGGGGAGCGGGGAGAAAGAGAUGAAUUACAGUAGGAGAGCAAGAUUUCCAAGCAAGGGGACUAUGGGCAAUGGGGCGACCGAAGGGGCGCGGUGUACUAGGGCGCAUCAAGGGCCCUGAGGAACUGCUCGGAAAGCUCGACGAAAUACGGGACUAGAUCUCUCUAUGGCAUGAAGGAUGCUGCUGAUUUGUGAUUUCAACGGCAGUGAGCUAUCUAUUGUGGUAUAGGUGCUGUGCACGCCCAGCUUGUGUAUGCAUCUGGCAUGUAUGUGUAUACACAUGUUUUAUUCCUAGAUGGAGUGUCCAUACAUUCUAAUGAAGCCCUCUAUGGAGAUGAAAAAUUGGAUAAUGGGUAGAUGGACAAAGAUAACCAGAAUGACCACAAGACCUACUAUACAAUGUUCUUUCUUGGGGUCUUUCACAAAUUUAUGGUGCUUUUAUUGGAUCAAUACAGUGGCUCAUCGUAUGGAUGGUACAUGUUUCAGUUCAAUACAGUGGCUCAUAUACCAUGUCCGAUGAAUACAAGGAAGACGUCAUGAUUUGGAGCAACGAACCCAUGGUGAAAGGAAGAAAAUACAAGUUUGUCGUAAUGCCCUUGGAGCUAGAGUGUAGCCGCAGAAUAAAAUAAUUCUUUCAACUCAUACCCAUAUGUGCAAAUUUUUCAUGGUUGUGUUUGGUCUAUAGCUAUGAGAAAAAAUACCGAGUUGUUGAUUUAUAUGCAUUGUUGACCAAUGAAUAUUUUUAGCAAAAAAAAAGAACUUGAUUGUUUUUUAGUAA
Lolium perenne is the source of this 1146-nucleotide non-coding RNA. The record is from RefSeq and is a predicted model, not a curated record. NCBI's taxonomy places the organism in Eukaryota, Viridiplantae, Streptophyta, Magnoliopsida, Poales, Poaceae.